UACAGCUGUGUUCCAGAAAUGACCAUGACCAUGACCACCAUACCCCAUCCUCUCUCUCUUUCUCUCUUUGCGCGUUACUUUUACUUUCUAUUAAAACCAAAUCAUUGUCUUCAUCAUUGCAUUUCCUCAUAUCCCGCAAAACCCAUUUUUCAUUUCAUUCCUUGAAGGAAGAUCAAGCCAAACACCACAAAGCCUCAGAUCAACAAAGAUCGGGAAGCUCUCAUCUUUUGAGGGGAAUGCUGUCUGGUUCAAGGAGAUGCAUGAGAUCACAUAUCACACUACUUUUCACUUCAUACACCAAACUAUUCUUCACAAAACUUCAUCAAAUUCACAUGUAAUAAUCAUCCUCGGACCAGGCUUCAUUCCUCUCAAUUACAGCUUCCAUCAUCUAAACCAUUCAAAUCAUAUAUGUAAAAUAUUCUCCAGUAGUGGGAUGCAGGUGCGCAACACACGGACAAAGGUAAAGAAGAAAAGUUAUUAUAUAUAGGUGGAACAGAAAGUGAUGACUGGAAAUGUAGGUUUUAUGUGUAUUGCCUGUUAAGUUGUUGGCAGAAUCAUAUCCUGAUUUCACUUUUUUCCCACUAAAAUGACCAAACCCUUAUUAAUAAUUAAACUCAGUCUAGCUUUGGUAGUGCAGGAGGAUUUGGUUUCGGGGUGAUUAAAACAAGGUUGCCGGCAUUUUGUUUUUGUUCUA
Long non-coding RNA from Cajanus cajan (pigeon pea), 694 nucleotides. RefSeq lists it as uncharacterized. NCBI's taxonomy places the organism in Eukaryota, Viridiplantae, Streptophyta, Magnoliopsida, Fabales, Fabaceae. The record is from RefSeq and is a predicted model, not a curated record.